GACGAACCGUGCGAACGUUGUUCGGAAUCACUGGGCUUAAAGGGCGCGUAGGCGGGCUGCCAAGUCCGGGGUGAAAGCUUUCGGCUCAACCGGAAAAGUGCCUUGGAUACUGGCGGUCUCGAGGGAGGUAGGGGCAUGUGGAACUUCCGGUGGAGCGGUGAAAUGCGUUGAUAUCGGAAGGAACGCCGGUGGCGAAAGCGACGUGCUGGACCUUUUCUGACGCUGAGGCGCGAAAGCCAGGGGAGCGAACGGG
RNAcentral lists this ribosomal RNA (253 nucleotides) under uncultured bacterium. RNAcentral describes it as "partial 16S ribosomal RNA". It matches the Rfam family "Bacterial small subunit ribosomal RNA", at positions 524 to 776 of the family's 1533-position model. The record is from RNAcentral.